CCCUUAGAUGUUCUGGGCAGCACGCGCGCUACACUGAUGCAUUCAACGAGUCUAAAACCUGCUCUGAUAGGGGUGGGUAAUCUUUUGAAUGUGCAUCGUGAUUGGGAUAGAUGAUUGCAAUUUUUCAUCUUCAACGAGGAAUGCCUAGUAAACGCAAGUCAUCAGCUUGCAUUGAUUACGUCCCUGCCCUUUGUACACACCGCCCGUCGCUCCUACCGAUUGAAUGAUCCGAUGAAUAUCAUGGAUUGAGGAUUAUAGCAGGUUCGCCUGUCUUGAUCUUCGAGAAGUGAAGUAAAUCUUAUCAUUUAGAGGAAGGAGAAGUCGUAACA
This 329-nucleotide ribosomal RNA is filed under the name uncultured eukaryote. Its description in RNAcentral is "partial 18S ribosomal RNA". It matches the Rfam family "Eukaryotic small subunit ribosomal RNA", at positions 1470 to 1796 of the family's 1831-position model. The record is from RNAcentral.